AGGUUGAUAUUCCUGUACCACCUCCUCACCGUUUGAGAAAUGGGGGGACGCAGUAGGAUAGGGUAAGCGCGCUGUUGGAUAUGCGCGUCCAAGCAGUAAGGCGUGUGUGUAGGCAAAUCCGCACACUAUAACGUUGAGCUGUGAUGGCGAGUCCGUAUGGACGAAGUUCCUGAUUUCACACUGCCAAGAAAAGCCUCUAUCGAGGUGAGAGGUGCCCGUACCGCAAACCGACACAGGUAGUCGAGGAGAGAAUCCUAAGGUGUGCGAGAGAACUCUCGUUAAGGAACGCGGCAAAAUGACCCCGUAACUUCGGGAGAAGGGGUGCUCUUGAGCGUGCAAGCGCAUGAGAGCCGCAGUGAAUAGGCCCAGGCGACUGUUUAGCAAAAACACAGGUCUCUGCAAAACCGUAAGGUGACGUAUAGGGGCUGACGCCUGCCCGGUGCUGGAAGGUUAAGAGGAGUGGUUAGCGCA
This 471-nucleotide ribosomal RNA is filed under the name Lysinibacillus xylanilyticus. RNAcentral describes it as "bacterial LSU rRNA". It matches the Rfam family "Bacterial large subunit ribosomal RNA", at positions 1427 to 1897 of the family's 2925-position model. The record is from RNAcentral. Lineage: Bacteria; Bacillati; Bacillota; Bacilli; Caryophanales; Bacillaceae.